UGUAAUUAAGUGUAAGAUGCACUUGAUUUUUUGAAAAUCAAAGAUAAGUUUAAUUCUUAAAAUUACAA
This 68-nucleotide transfer RNA is filed under the name Concaveplana rufolineata. RNAcentral's name for it is "tRNA-Gln". Lineage: Eukaryota; Metazoa; Arthropoda; Insecta; Hemiptera; Cicadellidae. The record is from RNAcentral.